Molecule: non-coding RNA, 27 nt
Filed under: Rattus norvegicus (Norway rat)
Lineage: Eukaryota; Metazoa; Chordata; Mammalia; Rodentia; Muridae
Source: RNAcentral
UGUGAAGAUGUGCUUGUUGAUAAGCAA